Molecule: ribosomal RNA, 253 nt
Filed under: uncultured bacterium
Lineage: Bacteria
Description: partial 16S ribosomal RNA
Rfam family: Bacterial small subunit ribosomal RNA
Source: RNAcentral
UACGUAGGGCGCAAGCGUUGUCCGGAAUUAUUGGGCGUAAAGAGCUCGUAGGCGGCUUGUCACGUCGGAUGUGAAAGCCCGGGGCUUAACCCCGGGUCUGCAUUCGAUACGGGCAGGCUAGAGUGUGGUAGGGGAGAUCGGAAUUCCUGGUGUAGCGGUGAAAUGCGCAGAUAUCAGGAGGAACACCGGUGGCGAAGGCGGGUCUCUGGGCCGGUACCGACGCUGAGGAGCGAAAGCGUGGGGAGCGAACAGG